AGACCCGAAACCCGGUGAUCUAGCCAUGGGCAGGUUGAAGGUUGGGUAACACUAACUGGAGGACCGAACCGACUAAUGUUGAAAAAUUAGCGGAUGACCUGUGGCUGGGGGUGAAAGGCCAAUCAAACCGGGAGAUAGCUGGUUCUCCCCGAAAGCUAUUUAGGUAGCGCCUCGUGAAUUCAUCUCCGGGGGUAGAGCACUGUUUCGGCUAGGGGGCCAUCCCGGCUUACCAACCCGAUGCAAACUGCGAAUACCGGAGAAUGUUAUCACGGGAGACACACGGCGGGUGCUAACGUCCGUCGUGAAGAGGGAAACAACCCAGACCGCCAGCUAAGGUCCCAAAGUCAUGGUUAAGUGGGAAACGAUGUGGGAAGGCCCAGACAGCCAGGAUGUUGGCUUAGAAGCAGCCAUCAUUUAAAGAAAGCGUAAUAGCUCACUGGUCGAGUCGGCCUGCGCGGAAGAUGUAACGGGGCUAAACCAUGCACCGAAGCUGCGGCAGCGAACGUAUCACCCAAGACAACUUUACGGAGUUGACGAUUGACGGAGCGAAGCGACGUCAAAGCGUUCAUUAAAGUCGAGUUGGCUUAGGGAUACGUUCGUUGGGUAGGGGAGCGUUCUGUAAGCCUGUGAAGGUGUGUCGUGAGGCAUGCUGGAGGUAUCAGAAGUGCGAAUGCUGACAUAAGUAACGAUAAAGCGGGUGAAAAGCCCGCUCGCCGGAAGACCAAGGGUUCCUGUCCAACGUUAAUCGGGGCAGGGUGAGUCGACCCCUAAGGCGAGGCCGAAAGGCGUAGUCGAUGGAAAACGGGUUAAUAUUCCCGUACUUGGUGUUACUGCGAAGGGGGGACGGAGAAGGCUAUGUUGGCCGGGCGACGGUUGUCCCGGUUUAAGCGUGUAGGUGUGUGUUCCAGGUAAAUCCGGUUCACUUUAACACUGAGGCGUGACGACGAGGCACUACGGUGCUGAAGCAACAAAUGCCCUGCUUCCAGGAAAAGCCUCUAAGCAUCAGGUAACAUCAAAUCGUACCCCAAACCGACACAGGUGGUCAGGUAGAGAAUACCAAGGCGCUUGAGAGAACUCGGGUGAAGGAACUAGGCAAAAUGGUGCCGUAACUUCGGGAGAAGGCACGCUGACACGUAGGUGAAGUGAUUUACUCAUGGAGCUGAAGUCAGUCGAAGAUACCAGCUGGCUGCAACUGUUUAUUAAAAACACAGCACUGUGCAAACACGAAAGUGGACGUAUACGGUGUGACGCCUGCCCGGUGCCGGAAGGUUAAUUGAUGGGGUCAGCGCAAGCGAAGCUCCUGAUCGAAGCCCCGGUAAACGGCGGCCGUAACUAUAACGGUCCUAAGGUAGCGAAAUUCCUUGUCGGGUAAGUUCCGACCUGCACGAAUGGCGUAAUGAUGGCCAGGCUGUCUCCACCCGAGACUCAGUGAAAUUGAACUCGCUGUGAAGAUGCAGUGUACCCGCGGCAAGACGGAAAGACCCCGUGAACCUUUACUAUAGCUUGACACUGAACAUUGAGCCUUGAUGUGUAGGAUAGGUGGGAGGCUUUGAAGUGUGGACGCCAGUCUGCAUGGAGCCGACCUUGAAAUACCACCCUUUAAUGUUUGAUGUUCUAACGUGGACCCGUAAUCCGGGUUGCGGACAGUGUCUGGUGGGUAGUUUGACUGGGGCGGUCUCCUCCUAAAGAGUAACGGAGGAGCACGAAGGUUGGCUAAUCCUGGUCGGACAUCAGGAGGUUAGUGCAAUGGCAUAAGCCAGCUUGACUGCGAGCGUGACGGCGCGAGCAGGUGCGAAAGCAGGUCAUAGUGAUCCGGUGGUUCUGAAUGGAAGGGCCAUCGCUCAACGGAUAAAAGGUACUCCGGGGAUAACAGGCUGAUACCGCCCAAGAGUUCAUAUCGACGGCGGUGUUUGGCACCUCGAUGUCGGCUCAUCACAUCCUGGGGCUGAAGUAGGUCCCAAGGGUAUGGCUGUUCGCCAUUUAAAGUGGUACGCGAGCUGGGUUUAGAACGUCGUGAGACAGUUCGGUCCCUAUCUGCCGUGGGCGCUGGAGAACUGAGGGGGGCUGCUCCUAGUACGAGAGGACCGGAGUGGACGCAUCACUGGUGUUCGGGUUGUCAUGCCAAUGGCACUGCCCGGUAGCUAAAUGCGGAAGAGAUAAGUGCUGAAAGCAUCUAAGCACGAAACUUGCCCCGA
This 2195-nucleotide ribosomal RNA is filed under the name Salmonella enterica. Its description in RNAcentral is "partial 23S ribosomal RNA". It matches the Rfam family "Bacterial large subunit ribosomal RNA", at positions 711 to 2802 of the family's 2925-position model. The record is from RNAcentral. Lineage: Bacteria; Pseudomonadati; Pseudomonadota; Gammaproteobacteria; Enterobacterales; Enterobacteriaceae.